Molecule: long non-coding RNA, 3871 nt
Organism: Syngnathus typhle (broad-nosed pipefish)
Lineage: Eukaryota; Metazoa; Chordata; Actinopteri; Syngnathiformes; Syngnathidae
Exons: 3
Source: RefSeq, a predicted model, not a curated record
CAUAUGCUCGCCGGCAGAGCACAUCGACGGGAGCUCCGGACGAGAACAAUCGUCCGAAUGCUAAAGUCGCCUUUUUAGAAGAGAAAGCGCAAAGGCAGCGUGGAGGGGGCGAGCGGGAGCGUCUUGACUGACAUCCAUCUGGUGUUUCAUCCGCAAUGCGUCAUUGAGACGCGAUUCCGGGGGCGAUCGAUAAACGCAGAGGCCUCUGGCGGAAAUGCGACCCGAGACUGUCCGUACGAGAACUGACCUGAGAGCAGAGCAGCAUGACCAGUUCCACCACCGACGUGCUGGACUUCAUACACACCAGACCUGCGGAAGGACCUCAUACCUGCUUCGUGAAUGAGUGAAGCAGCCAGCUCAAAGACCAAGCCCAACUCCCAAAGACCAAGCAAGCCGAACAAGGGAGUAGUAGUAAGGUUUGUUGUACAGCACCUGUACCUUCAAUGAGAAGCUCCUGCCCAUGACUCCCCAGGAGCGUGCGCGAUAGGAAUGGCGCAAAGUCAACAAAAAUUUCCCUCAGGAGCGGCGCCACCUUCUCCAGCGCUCGUUCCAGCUUGGUGGUGAUGCUGCAGGGAGGACAGAACAGCAAAUACAGGCGCUAAAGGAUGGGCUCUACAUGCGGGGGAGGCAAAACAAAAGGCAGGAAAGACACAAGCGCGCCUUCAAAUCAAACAAAUGCAAUUUCACCAUGUUUGGAGUGCAGUGACAUUGGAUGUUCAUAACAAGCAAAAUCACAUACGUGUAAACAUACAUUCAUCAUAUAAAAUAAAUGGUUUGAGAAAUUGUUCUAUUGGGUACAAAACGUGACAAAAAUUGUCAGCAAAAAGAUGUUGAUCAAAUAUUGACUUGAUGAAAUAAAGCGUCAAUUAUUUUGGCAAAUAAACGUGUAUUUCAUAUGCUGUAUUACGUUCACAGCGGCGGUCCUUGCCUAAAACACUGUCCUGCAUCUCUGGGGGUUGUCUGGAAGCCGGCCAGGGAGCUAAAGGACUUGAGCUCGGGAGGCGUCUGACUGCUGCGCAAUGCACACUGCGCCACCUCACAAUAGGCACUGUAACACGCACACACACCAUUAAGGCUUGGAUAGCACAACUCAAGGGAAGCACAAUGGAAUUUGGAGCUGUGGGCAAGCGGGUAACUUCACAAAAUGCUGUCCAUCAACACAGAAUGUCGAGUGAUGGGCAAAUGUGACGUCGUGGAAAAGCGCGUCGGCGCGGCUUUAGCAAAGAACGUCUGGGGUGGGGCUAUCUGUGGGGUAGAGCGAGGACCGACGAGAAGAGUGACAGCGGGUGAGUCGACAAAAACUUUCUCUGACCUCAUGUUCUCCAGGCUGUCUUCAGGCAUGGGCGCCACCGUCUGGACGGCAGGCAGAUUCUUGCUGGUGGCGCCGUUCACAAACGCUGCUGCCGCCGCCACCACAGAGUCUGCUCCUGCACAAGAUGGAUGGAUGAACAAAAGGAAGGACACGUGAGUCACAAGGUGGCGUCACCGCACCGGUCAGAGUGCAAACGAACACAAAGCGCUUGGCGUCAGCGUCUGGGUGCGGGACAGAACCUCCUCCGCGCCCAAUUUGGUUUGUUUACAAAGUCUCGAGCAAUAAUGUCAAACGUGGCUCGGCUCGCUCUCUUUACUGGUGCUGAAGGAACGUCGCAUUACCUCACAUUGAAACCACUGAAGGGAUCAAUAAAAAGCUCAUUCGGACAUAACACGCAGAUAUAGCUUGACAUAUUGGCGGCCAUGAAUGCAGUUUGGAAGAACAAACCAUUUCAGUGUCCCGCGAACACCAAAGCCUGGAUGCUCACCUGUGGUAUUGAUCAUGCUCUUGGGUGUCACGGCGGCGGCAAAGAUGUUAGGCGUGCUGGCGGCACCCCCGGCGGUGGGCGUACCCACCGUAUUGACGGACAAGCUGCCGGGUGGCGGCUUCUUUGCCGGGACCAUGACGCUCCUGCGAGACAGACGCAGUUCAUUUAUUGGUGAGGAGACAGCGGCGGUGCAAAAGAUUGGCAGAUUGGAAAGCAACCUAUCAAAGGAGUGGAACUGCAUGGGCAGUGCCGGGUAGCUCUUCAAGGUGGGGUCGGGCUGGUAUGGCGUCGGCCCGGACUCUUGGCCCGAGUCGCUGCCAUCCGACGGAGCGGCCACCAGGCUCUUCAGGAUCUCCUGUCGUGGAGGCACAAAGUGUGAAAGAUUGACAGUGCUAAGGCGCGAAAACUCAAGCGCCAGAGUAAGAAGAGUGUGCGCACAAAUGUCGGGCUCUCCCAAACUUGACAAGCUCACGGAGCAUUUGGCUCACCUUGACGUUGAUGCCUUUAUUGGUAUGGCUGAUGCCGGAAAUGGACGAAGGCGGCGCCUGUCUGCCAUCGGGAUUGCGGGGGGAGUCCAGAAGGCUCUCGUGCGACCUGCCGACAUCCGACAGAGCACACAGCAGGUCGGCCUGGGCGCCCAUGCCCGAGGCCCGCUCCCUGUCCACUUCCCGCCCCGUCUCGGAGCCAUUGAGGGAGCCGCCUGUGUGGCCCUCCUCGCCGAUGCCCGAGUCGGUGUGGGGCAGGCCAGCACGGGGUGAGGAGUCAUCUGCGGUGACGGCUGUCUGCUUGUCACACUGAGACAAGGUAGAGGACGGGUGCUCUGCGCGGCAGGUGAGGAAGACGUGGUCAAGGAACAAGUCCCUGCCUGAUUAAUGCUGUGAUUGGUUGAAAAUCAAAUCACCUGUGCUGGUGGGUGAGUUGAUCUCGUGUCGGAUGCUGCGUCCGGACAGGCUAGCUGAUCGGCCCAUCUCCCGCUGAGGCUCCAGGAUGUCUCGAUACUUGGACACCAUCAGCACAGAGAUGAAGUAGACCACGGCCAGAGCCAAGAAUUGAGCCUGCUUGCUGUCAUCCUGCGGGGGGGAAAACAAAAAAAAAAGCGAUGAUGGUAAGCCAUCCCAUGUCUUGGUCCGCAAAGCAACACACUCACCACGUCUCUGAAAACCACCGCACGCAGACGGUUGAUGUCCACGUCCUGGAGGAGGCGGUCCGGGUCCUGCACAGUAGUAAGUUCAUGGGUCAUUCUUUCUGACUGACACUUUCCAUUAUUAUCACUGCUCAUUCCUCAACCGUUCUUCAUAUUAUGUUUUUUUGCAUUUGCUCAUUUUGGCACUGACAUCUCAAAAGAGUGUGUCACGACGCAGGCACGGGUAAGAAAUACAAGAAGAGCACCACCUUGCUGGCGGUGCCAGCAGCAUGCAAGCCAUCCUGCGACUUGCUGCCGGCCGACUUGCAGUUGCGAUCGCGCUGCCGCAGCCGGCACUCCAGGCAGUUUCUCACAGCCACGCAGCACACUGAGCGAGCAGGGAGCACAUUGAGGCCACGUCAUUUUUUGUUUUUUCCAGUUCUUUUUAUCUUCUUUUUCAGUCAAGGCGACGCCUUGAUCCCAGGCGAGUCGGCCGGCUGGCCGGCCGGAAGCGCUCACCCAGUCGCAGGCAUUGCCUCAUGAGCCCGCCGGAGGACAUGUUCUUCUCUGCCUCAAUCUCGCUGAAGUUGAGCGAGCUGGCGAAGACCAGCACGUCCACCAUGGCCAUCAGCCGCGACAGGAAGGUGACAGCCGUCUCCGACGACAUGCCCUGUGUCGCCUCGAUGUUCUCCAGUUCUGUCUGAAGGUGCGCACAUGCCCAAGAUGAGCUCGCUGGGCAAACGGCCAGCUUGGAGGCCAGCUCAAAAAUAUCAACCAUCAAAUAUCAAACAUUCAGCAAUUUGCAAAAUCCAAUCCAAAAGUCAUUUGGUGACUGACUUUGCUCAUGAACUAGCAAUUUGGUCCGUUAAAAACUUUGGUUUCUUUUUUCAUUUUAAAACCUUGAAAUAAUUUUGGUGUUAUUCUUCAUCAAAUACAUUUUGCUUAUUUU